This 500-nucleotide ribosomal RNA is filed under the name uncultured bacterium. RNAcentral describes it as "partial 16S ribosomal RNA". It matches the Rfam family "Bacterial small subunit ribosomal RNA", at positions 30 to 523 of the family's 1533-position model. The record is from RNAcentral.
AUUGAACGCUGGCGGCAGGCCCAACACAUGCAAGUCGAGCGGUAGAGAGAAGCUUGCUUCUCUUGAGAGCGGCGGACGGGUGAGUAAUGCCUAGGAAUCUGCCUGGUAGUGGGGGAUAACGUUCGGAAACGGACGCUAAUACCGCAUACGUCCUACGGGAGAAAGCAGGGGACCUUCGGGCCUUGCGCUAUCAGAUGAGCCUAGGUCGGAUUAGCUAGUUGGUGAGGUAAUGGCCCACCAAGGCGACGAUCCGUAACUGGUCUGAGAGGAUGAUCAGUCACACUGGAACUGAGACACGGUCCAGACUCCUACGGGAGGCAGCAGUGGGGAAUAUUGGACAAUGGGCGAAAGCCUGAUCCAGCCAUGCCGCGUGUGUGAAGAAGGUCUUCGGAUUGUAAAGCACUUUAAGUUGGGAGGAAGGGUUGUAGAUUAAUACUCUGCAAUUUUGACGUUACCGACAGAAUAAGCACCGGCUAACUCUGUGCCAGCAGCCGCCGUAA